RNAcentral lists this ribosomal RNA (253 nucleotides) under uncultured bacterium. RNAcentral's name for it is "partial 16S ribosomal RNA". It matches the Rfam family "Bacterial small subunit ribosomal RNA", at positions 524 to 776 of the family's 1533-position model. The record is from RNAcentral.
UACGUAGGGGGCAAGCGUUGUCCGGAAUCAUUGGGCGUAAAGAGCGUGUAGGCGGCCCGAUAAGUCCGCCGUGAAAGUCCAGGGCUCAACCCUGGAAUGCCGGUGGAAACUGUCGGGCUGGAGUCCGGGAGAGGCGAGUGGAAUUCCUGGUGUAGCGGUGAAAUGCGCAGAUAUCAGGAGGAACACCAAUUGCGAAGGCAGCUCGCUGGGACGUUACUGACGCUGAGACGCGAAAGCGUGGGGAGCAAACAGG